Dipodomys ordii (Ord's kangaroo rat) is the source of this 202-nucleotide small nucleolar RNA. Its record names the gene U3. It matches the Rfam family "Small nucleolar RNA U3". From Rfam's summary of the family: Small nucleolar RNAs (snoRNAs) are involved in the processing and modification of rRNA in the nucleolus. Lineage: Eukaryota; Metazoa; Chordata; Mammalia; Rodentia; Heteromyidae. The record is from Ensembl.
AAGACUAUACUUUCAGGAAUCGUUCCUGUAGUUUGUUACUAGAGACAUUUCACUGAUUGUGUAGAGUAUCCGAAACCACGAGGAGGAGGCGUAGCAUUCCCUCAUGAGCAUGAAGCUGGCUCUUGGUGCUGCUUUACUGCAACUGCCAUUUGCCAUUGAUGAUCAUUCUCUUCCUUUGGGGAGAGAACACAGUCUGAGUGGC